Long non-coding RNA from Betta splendens (Siamese fighting fish), 8478 nucleotides. RefSeq lists it as uncharacterized. The record is from RefSeq and is a predicted model, not a curated record. The transcript has 3 exons. Lineage: Eukaryota; Metazoa; Chordata; Actinopteri; Anabantiformes; Osphronemidae.
UCUGCACCGACCCCCCUCUAUCUCCCUCUGUCUGAGCGACAGGAAGCUAACGUUGAAGUUUUACCGCUGCAGCCACUGUCAUACGAGCAGUCUGCCGCUAGAGGGCGCGCCUCACUCACUGUGGGAUACUGCUUCGACAACGAAGAACAACGCAUCUGGGGAAGACGUGUGAACAGGACAGACCAAACAUCCACUGGUUCUGAUGUUGUGGAUGAACGAAAGGCCAGUGGGAAACUCCAUCACGUGGUUAUUGACCGCUUCACCGCCGUGACGGACAGAUGAACGGCCUUCAGGGUACAGGACGUUCCUGAUCAGAGUGACUUUCCCGACCCUCCCCCCACUGCUCUGCAGCCGUGUUGUGAACACAGCAUCAGAAUGACAAUGGAGAGGGAGACAGACAAGAACGUCUGGGGCCUGUCAGGCAGACGGACGGGUUGACACGUUGACAGGCUGACAGUCAAAGGCAUCGAGGGCCGCCAUUGGCCCAAAGGCCCGGGAAGCGAUGUGGUAUUCUGUGGGCAAUUUGGCCUAAGCUGCAGCUGAUCCUCUGAAUGUCACCUACUGAAUACAUUACUCCUGAACAGGAGGCAAUUACAUAAAGCUACUUGUAUGUACAAAUUACAAUCAAUGUCUUAAGCCCCGUCCAUUUCCACUCUACUGCAAGCACAAAUACUAACAAUAUUGAACAUGCUAUUUAAAUAGACUUUUUCCACUCAAACUACCCAGCUUGCAUUAUAACUACUGUAGUUAUAACUAUAACUAGUUUGUCCAUCUGUAUUGGUAGAUAUUAAUAUUACAUAUUAAUAGUAGACUUGACUUAGUCAAGAUGUUUUAAUUCUUUAAACAAAACUAGUAAGUACCUCUCUAAUCGUCAUAUCUUUCCUAAACUGACUCCUGAGGUCUGUUGUGUAAUAUUUUUAUGGUGUGCCCUUUACAUGCUCAGCAACCAACCUAGCACACACACACUGUGGGGUGCCGUAACUGUGUUUUCAGUUUACUGUAUGUGCAUAAAAACAUAAUCCUUACAAGACAUGGACGGUAAAGAGCCUGUUUCUGCUCAGCAUGAAGGUCAGACACAUCUGAGGACCGAUUGGUUUAUAGCUGCUGCAGAACCAGAUAUGUUCUCGUCUCGGUGGAGGAAAACAGAGCUAAAGGGGAGCUGGAAUAUUUGGUUACCUUCCCCUUGAGGACAGAAACAUUACUCCAAACAAACCUUAGAAUGGCUCUCUGUUGGCUGCAUAAGUAAAUAGGCAUCUGUUUGCUACCAGGUUCCCCUCGUCAGCUUUAAAGGUGUUUGAUGAUCCAGAGAGUUGAAGUAAUUUCCAUGUCAUUUGUAUUGCCGGACAGCGUAGAGUAUUGGGAAGCAUGAAAAAUAGACUUGACUUUCUUUGUUUCUUUGCUCCUUCAUUCUUCAGAUGUUUUGAUCCCAAACGAGAGCCAAAAAAAUCAUUCCACACAGAAGAACAAGACAUAAAGCUAUCAGAGGCCAAUAAUUUUUCCCUUCUUCCAUCUCCCAUAAUUACAUUUUAUCUAAUUGCUUCUCUUCUUCACAACAAACGGGUUAAAGGCCCCCCAGAGACCCACAGGAGGAGGGCUCCUCUAGGGAAGCGCACUGUGUCCUGACGCUGGAGUCGACAGAGCUUGGGUGGUUUAAUCAAACACAUGCUUCUGCUAUUUUUCAUCUGGAACUCAUCUGAAUAUUAUCUGCAUACUUUGGAGUUAAAAUAGAAAGGAGGGGAGAUGGAGUCUGUGCAAGUAGAGGGUGAAAAAUAAUUCAGAUAUGACAUUCUGCAUUGAUUUAUAAUGUGAAAUCACAUCUGCAUAGAGGCUCCCCUCCGUUGCGGCGUGUAGGUUAUUGUGUACGUGUCCUCAUGCGGCUGUUUAUGAGAACGCCUUUGCUCAUUGAAGUGCAUGCCGGCGAUAGCGUUAUUGAUUUGCAUGGGUGACUGCGUGUUGGAUUUCAAGGUGGGCUUUCCGUCUCGUCUGUUCCCCUUGGCUGACGGAGCUCCCCCGCAGCUCCGCGUGCACCUUGCACACACCCCGUGUUCUCUAAUUCAUUAGUUUCACUCUCGCACGACUAUCAAACGCCAUCAUCCGGCGUGGAGGCGGCUGCUGAAGCCAGUCUGCAGUUUCACCUUCGGGAGGAAAGUGCACGAUGCAGCAUUCUAAAUGCCAUGCAGAUGUAGAAACCGGAGCUGCAUGAACUGGAGGAACGCGUCUGCAGUAUUGUUAUUGCGCAUGUAUUACAUGGGAUUUCAGGUUGACUGAGUGAUGCUUGACUGGGAGAUUACUCACUAUAACAAUUGCAAACACUAGUCAUAGCCAGGGGUAGUACAGCACAUCUACAUGUACUCCACUAGCUCUAGAGUCUUUGUGGGGAGAUCCUUCUCCUGAUCUGCUUGUUCUGCCCCAAUGUGACAGAUUGAAGGACAGAUUUGAUUCAUUCUGUCUAUACAAUGGCUCGGCUUUGGGGCAAAUAACAUCAUCACCUUCUAAGUGACCUUUUGAACACUGACCCCCUUUUGAACGGUGACCUCCGGCCAGGUUCAAGAGUCACCCCGGCAACGUACAGUAGCAGCCCUGUCAUCAAGGCUCGUUGGGUAACCGCUGACCAGCAAGGAUGUUUGUGUGUCCGUGCGCGCGUCUCUGUGUUUGUUCAAAGUGUGUGAUAGUGUUACAGAAAAGGCUUGUCGAAUGUGACUCACAUAAAAGGUCUGAAGGAGCCUCAGGACACCCAGCUUACCCACACACACACACACACGCACACACACACACAGACCGAUGGUUCCCAUGGUGAAUGUGUUCCAUUGAGUGGGAUUUUCCAGGCGGCGUCCGGAACAGCGGACACUCCAGAGUUUGUCCUGGAAGUUCGCUUUGAUCAAAGUGGGCAGACCGGCCCAAAGGAAUGACAAUUACUGAUCCAUUGCAUGCCCACACACACACACACACACACACACACACACACACACACACACACACACACACACACACACACACACACACACACACGCGCGUAUUUUUCUAUUAUGAGGAUUUCCCUUAACUGAAACAUACCCAACAAAGAGGGUUUUUCCUCAUGCAGCUUUCAGCUUCUUGUAUUAAUGGUUUAAAUGACUUGACUCUUGGUCAUUUAUCAGCCACAGUGUUGGUAACGAUGUGUGCAUCAGUCUUUCUGUGGUUGUCCUACGACACUGGUUUACUGCCCAUUCGUACUGAUAUAUUAGUGUUUUACCAAACUGGCACAUUUUAACAAAUCAAGCAUCUGCAGAGCAGUAACAUGACUCAUCUGGUGUGACGUUUCUGUCUAUCUCAUGAAUUUAGGGCCUUUCCUAAGUUUGUCAUCUGAGUGAACAGAACACACACAGUGAUUUGUGAAAACAGUGGCUGCAACUGUAAAUGGGGGCAGUAUAACAGAAAUAAAGUACAAUAAUGCUCGGAAAGAAAAACAACAGAUGAAGAGUGGUUCACAGUUGGGUGAUAGGACUCUGUGAGAACACCUGGCCCACACACACACACACACACACACGCACACACACCCAUGCACACACGCACACAUGCACGCACACACACUCUUGCACUUGUGUUUAUGAUGACUGUGGAGACAGGGUGGACUAGACACUAGUUAUAAACCUCAGGCUGGCAGAGACAGCAGAUUUUAUAGGCCUGGUGCUGCUUUAUGUGUGUGUUUGGGAGUGAAAAUGCAUGUGACUGCAGAUGUAAUGAGAGUUGGUAUGGUUCUACUUCUACUCUAGUGACACAUUUAUUGUCUGUCUGAAAUCACUGCUCAGAUCUCCGACACGCAACUUGGGCUGAAGUCUGCAUCACGCAAUGUGGACGAGGUGGGGACAGCAGAGACCAGACCUGACCUCAGUCACACUGUAUUAAUCUGUCUCUGUUCUUUCAGUCUCAUCUGGAUCCAAAUAGCUUUUAUAUUAAAUGAUCACUCAGGUACUCGUCUUACAACAGACGUUCUGUAUGAAGUCACAGCUGUGGGAAUUGCAGUGGUAUAAUUGCGAGGACCUGGAAAUGAGAUUGAAUGACUGAAGCAGACAUACAGUGCAGCAUGAAUUGCCUGCGAAUGCCAGAGCCAAACCCCAGGAAGGAGUCGACCAGGAAGGAAUCAGAAGGGUCAGGGGUCAAAUAACAAAGAUAUAAAUGAAUUUGGCAGAUGGAAACAGUUUGAUUACCGCAUACCCAAAAUGAAGAAUGAAGUAAUCAAAAGCAGCAGAUGUGCUUUGGUUUGGAAAAUUCUUACUCGUACAAUUUCAAAUGUAAUCUAAACAUUUUCAGUUCACUAAGUAAUUAUCUGAUGCAAAUUUGUAAUGAUAAUAAUACUUCUAAGAGCAUUGCUCCAUGAUAAAUGGUUACACACCCUUCUAUUACUGUAGGUUCAUCACACAUAAUCUUUCUUUAUAUUUCCAUCAGUUGGAAACAUGUCUGUGAAUGGAAGUGGCCGUGUUCAAAUGACGGCAGUGCGCUGGCACUGAUCUCCUCUGUGUCAUAACCUCACUUUCUGCGUGAGGGAAAAUUUCCUGUAACAUUACCCUGAAAUACAUACUUGAUGUCUGGGAAAUGUUUUGAGAAUGUCACAUCUCGGUCUUCCUACAGACGCACAUUUAACCCGCGAAAAUAAAAAUGUCAGCCGCUCAAAAAGGCAGAGCUGGAUGUGAAUGAGAGGUCAUGUUGAUCUUUGCAUGUCUGUCUGUCUCCUCCUCUUCCACCAUCCUUCCAUGUUUGUAUGGGAACAGAGCCGCCUCUAUUUCUCCAAGUGGUAAUUUCCUCCGUAUUGACUGACGCGUCCUGUUAAAGUUAUGACAAAAGGGUCAGUUAUCACACGUUCACCUGCAGGGACUGGAUGACAGGUGAGGUCAGCUUUGGUUGAUCAGAGCCCUGUAUGUUAGGACAAUAAAAUAUAUUAUUAAUAUCAACUUCAGUAUUUAUUAGUUCUAAUAUCAGUUGAAAUGUGUCAACAUUUAAAGAGGUCUCAUAUGUUUAUACACUUUACUACAGUACAGUGAAUUUUCAGUGAGUUCAGUAACUGUUUAUUACAAACUCUGGUUUUAGAGGGAGAGUUAAUUAUUGGCCAGAAAAUAUUUGUGCUUUUAUUAAACUGACCCUUUAGGCUUUUAACUUUUCAAAACAAGCGUUCAUAAUUGGUCAUCAUGUUGUUGUUAAGUCCAGAUUGCCUUUGUCUCCACUUAAUUUGUUCGUAUUUGUUUCCAUUUAGAAACGCUUCAUAAAACGCACGACAAGCCACGCUAACACAAGCGCAUUUUUCCCCAUUUAAUUGGGCUCCAUAGCUGUUUCCUAAGUUUUCCGUGCGCUUAAAAACAAAAAAGAGCUGCCUCAGCUGGUGAUUCGAUCCUCUCGGCGGCGAACUGGGCAAAUGACCAGAUUCUCUGCUUUGAUACGUACAAGCUGUAUCUGAGAGUGUUGCUCAAAGGCAGCGUCCGCGUGGGAGCAUGCAGAUGUCUCGCACAUGCUUCAGUCCCGUAAGGUGAUAUUUAUAAGUGAACAAGUCUCAAGUCUGAACAAGAGAAAUUUGUUCAGAGCGUAAAUCUUGAUAUGAAUUUGUAAUUACAGUUGUUCGGUGGUACAAUCAUGUUGUAACGGUGUUCUGUUAAUUAUCUGACCAACCUCUGGAUGUUAUUGUUGUAACAGGAGACAGAGCCCUCAAGGCUUCUUAUCGUGGACAUCAGCAGGUGGGCUCUUUAUUCUAUAGAGACACACACACACACACACACACACACACACACACACACACACACAGGCGAGCAUGCAAAUACACAUAAACAGACUGAAACCUCUGCACAAAUGGCCCCAGGUUAAAUACCUGAGAACUAAGAACCGCAAUAAGAACCAGCAUCUACCCCCAACCUAGAGACACACACACACACACAUACACACACACACACACACACACACACACACACACACACACACACACACUGGGUCUCACACACAUUCACUCUCACAUACCUAAGAGUAAAGCGAGCGUAACCGUGCACUUGCAACUGAAGCUCCCCACCCCUCUCCCUGACUUUAAUCUGAUUUCACGUGCAGUAAUACAGAAUCACACGCGUGGUGCACAUGCAUAGUACACACACUCCAAGCGCACGCACACACCUGUUGAAGCUUGUGUAAACACCUGCCAGCAGUCCGUCGGCUGAGAUGAAUCCAGACGAAACAGUUCCUUACAGUUCCCCUCAUCGUCUGCACGUCUCAGCAUCAGCUCCCUCCACACCGCCGUGUGCUGAUGGCCCUGUUUUUGAUUCUGCAUUCGAAUGCAAGCCUCUAUCGUUCCACGCGAUUGCUGCACGCCUUCUGCGCCGUUACCCAAGCCUCCAAAGAACCCGCGCGGGCGAUUCCAGCGGCGGCGGCGGCACCGCACAGGAUGCAGGGUGGGGAUUUUCUGCAGUGGCUACCACAAAAGAGUGGGGGCCGUGAUUAUGAUGAAAGCCUAUUUCAUGCUCUCCACGGCCUGUUUCCAAACCUCCGGUUCACUCAAGGUAUCCUAGGGCUCAUAGACGCUGGGGCCAGCUUGUGGGUCCAAGAAUGAGGCGAGUGCUUCCAGGAGUUUCAGCUGCUUUGUGGGAGUUAUCCGUGUCUCAUCCACAUGUUUUAUGUAAACAUUCACAUCCUUUUUGUACAAAACGCUACAAGGUUAUUUACAUUUUAAAGUGAUAGUUAUUUAGUUUUGUGCCAGGUAUGAGAGGGAGACUCCUGUUAACUUUGUAUUCUGCUGCGCCCUCAAACAGAUUUUUAACAGCGGAGGCUGCUGCAUAAUGUUCAUUUCUGCAAAAUCUCAAAGCCAGUAUCUCACUGGAGCUGUCAGCACAGCUGCCUGCUGUGCCAUCCACCGCUGCUCCCAAAAUAUACGAGGAGUCGGCUUUUAAUGUAGUUACUUAAUGUUCAUGUGAACCUCAUUAAAUCUGCCUAAUCUUUUGAAGAAUUUAAAAAACAGAACAUAAAUGUACGUUUAUGAAUAUGCAAAUUCCAAAGGGCUUUGUAACUUAAAGUCACAACAGGAAGAUGCACGAAGAUGAGGAGGUCCACUUUGACGCAUGCUGACCAAGGCAAAGCCUCAGCAUUGGUCCUGUAGCUCUCAGUUAUCAGUCUGUGAAGAUGGUGACAUUCAGAGAAUUUUUAUAGAUUGGUCAAAUUUUUGCUGAGAACAAUCAUGUGAGAAUAAGAUUGGUGAUUUCUAAAAUCAGGUCUAAUUUUCCCCUAAUUCUUCACACUCAGAGCAAGAUUCCUACUCAUGAUGGCCAUGACAGCGGCCUGAAGGCAGCAUCCGCUGCUGCUUCUAGCUGCACACCCAAAUCCUGUUUUCAUUUGCAAGUGAUUUUGCAUUCUUUCCUCAGACAGGAGGUCAGGAUGAGAAGCCACGAAGGGGAACAGAUACUUUAAUGCUAGUAUUAAGAGCCCAAUAAUGACACAGGCAGGCUUUGGCCCUAGUCUGCAGGGAUGCAUGUGCUGGGCAGGGCAGCGUAGAUAGAAUCAUUAGGAUGUGCUUUGCUACUGUCUCUCUCGUGCUGCUGCUGCUGUUGAGGAUGCUGAUUGACAGUCCAGCGCAGCGGGAGGUGAGGUCACGCGUCUGGGAUGAGAUUCAUUUAGCUUCAUUUCCAUAUCAAUCUGCUGAGCUAAGGACUGGGAUUAUGUGGAAGGUGUAAUUUCAUUGCUGUUGGUGGCGCGGUGUGAAUGUAUUUCUGGCUGUGUGUUUUCCAAAUGAAGGAUGUUAAUUUCUGCCGUCAAGCAGCGAGCGCACGGGCGCGCGCAUGUGUGCGAGACAGGAACCGAGAUCUUCCUCCUAAACGAUAUGAAGUUUGACAUUUCAUUUACUGCCCCUGACCGGCGAGGUUAAUAAUGCUACCCCAAAGCAAUCAGGGCUAACCACACACACACACACACACACACACACACACACACACACACACACACACACACACACACACACACACACACACACACACACACACACAGCCGUAUACUGUACACAAAGCCUGCAUGAACAAACACACAUACACAACAUUCAAAUAUUCAAAUCAUGCCGCUCUAGUUAAGUGGCCAUAAAUAAGAUGUCAUUUUAAACCAGGAAUUUAAACCAUCUCAAUCUCAUCUGUUCAGCAAGAGCUCCUAACACAAACGCACGCACACACACACACACACACACACACACACACACACACACACACACACACACACACACACACACACACACACACACACUCACACACACACACACACACAUAUUGCCAUAUAUUUGAAUGGAGCCCUCCUGCACAAUACCACAGCUUACAUUGCCAGUACUUCUUUCUCACACACACACACACACACACACACACACACACACACACACACACACACUGGUGCAACACUUCUGCUGUGUGUGUGUACUGUGGUGAUCGCAUGGAGGACCAGGACAAAUGGGAGGAUCUCCUGUAAUAAAGAUGCCUGUUACAGGUAAAGACAGUGACA